GAAUAUUGGGCAAUGGGCGAGAGCCUGACCCAGCCAUGCCGCGUGCAGGAAGAAGGCCUUCUGGGUUGUAAACUGCUUUUAUCUGGGAAGAAAACGCCCCUGCGGGGGUAACUGACGGUACCAGAUGAAUAAGCACCGGCUAACCCCGGUCCAGCCGCCGCGGUAAUACGGAGGGUGCAAGCGUGGUCCGGAUGUAUUGGGUUUAAAGGGUGCGUAGGCGGCCCGUUAAGUCAGCGGUGAAAUCCCAGGGCUCAACCCUGGAACUGCCGUUGAUACUGGCGGGCUUGAGUUCGGUCGAGGCGGGCGGAACUGGUGGUGUAGCGGUGAAAUGCAUAGAUACCACCAAGAACCCCGAUUGCGAAGGCAGCUCGCUGGGCCGAAACUGACGCUGAGGCACGAAAGCGUGGGGAGCGAACAGG
This 419-nucleotide ribosomal RNA is filed under the name uncultured bacterium. RNAcentral's name for it is "bacterial SSU rRNA". It matches the Rfam family "Bacterial small subunit ribosomal RNA", at positions 359 to 776 of the family's 1533-position model. The record is from RNAcentral.